GAUGAACGCUGGCGGCGUGCCUAAUACAUGCAAGUCGAGCGAACGGACGAGAAGCUUGCUUCUCUGAUGUUAGCGGCGGACGGGUGAGUAACACGUGGAUAACCUACCUAUAAGACUGGGAUAACUUCGGGAAACCGGAGCUAAUACCGGAUAAUAUUUUGAACCGCAUGGUUCAAAAGUGAAAGACGGUCUUGCUGUCACUUAUAGAUGGAUCCGCGCUGCAUUAGCUAGUUGGUAAGGUAACGGCUUACCAAGGCAACGAUGCAUAGCCGACCUGAGAGGGUGAUCGGCCACACUGGAACUGAGACACGGUCCAGACUCCUACGGGAGGCAGCAGUAGGGAAUCUUCCGCAAUGGGCGAAAGCCUGACGGAGCAACGCCGCGUGAGUGAUGAAGGUCUUCGGAUCGUAAAACUCUGUUAUUAGGGAAGAACAUAUGUGUAAGUAACUGUGCACAUCUUGACGGUACCUAAUCAGAAAGCCACGGCUAACUACGUGCCAGCAGCCGCGGUAAUACGUAGGUGGCAAGCGUUAUCCGGAAUUAUUGGGCGUAAAGCGCGCGUAGGCGGUUUUUUAAGUCUGAUGUGAAAGCCCACGGCUCAACCGUGGAGGGUCAUUGGAAACUGGAAAACUUGAGUGCAGAAGAGGAAAGUGGAAUUCCAUGUGUAGCGGUGAAAUGCGCAGAGAUAUGGAGGAACACCAGUGGCGAAGGCGACUUUCUGGUCUGUAACUGACGCUGAUGUGCGAAAGCGUGGGGAUCAAACAGGAUUAGAUACCCUGGUAGUCCACGCCGUAAACGAUGAGUGCUAAGUGUUAGGGGGUUUCCGCCCCUUAGUGCUGCAGCUAACGCAUUAAGCACUCCGCCUGGGGAGUACGACCGCAAGGUUGAAACUCAAAGGAAUUGACGGGGACCCGCACAAGCGGUGGAGCAUGUGGUUUAAUUCGAAGCAACGCGAAGAACCUUACCAAAUCUUGACAUCCUUUGACAACUCUAGAGAUAGAGCCUUCCCCUUCGGGGGACAAAGUGACAGGUGGUGCAUGGUUGUCGUCAGCUCGUGUCGUGAGAUGUUGGGUUAAGUCCCGCAACGAGCGCAACCCUUAAGCUUAGUUGCCAUCAUUAAGUUGGGCACUCUAAGUUGACUGCCGGUGACAAACCGGAGGAAGGUGGGGAUGACGUCAAAUCAUCAUGCCCCUUAUGAUUUGGGCUACGCACGUGCUACAAUGGACAAUACAAAGGGCAGCGAAACCGCGAGGUCAAGCAAAUCCCAUAAAGUUGUUCUCAGUUCGGAUUGUAGUCUGCAACCCGACUACAUGAAGCUGGAAUCGCUAGUAAUCGUAGAUCAGCAUGCUACGGUGAAUACGUUCCCGGGUCU
RNAcentral lists this ribosomal RNA (1372 nucleotides) under uncultured bacterium. Its description in RNAcentral is "bacterial SSU rRNA". It matches the Rfam family "Bacterial small subunit ribosomal RNA", at positions 28 to 1381 of the family's 1533-position model. The record is from RNAcentral.